Long non-coding RNA from Dreissena polymorpha, 3334 nucleotides. RefSeq lists it as uncharacterized. Lineage: Eukaryota; Metazoa; Mollusca; Bivalvia; Myida; Dreissenidae. The record is from RefSeq and is a predicted model, not a curated record. The transcript has 4 exons.
GGAUGUGUGCUUUACAAAAGUGUCAAGAAUCAGUACCAAGACCUGCGUCUGAGCAUGAGGAGGCCAUUCAUCCCAGAGUUGGCACCAAUCGACCGCCCCCGGUUUUAACCGGCGGUUUUUACCGGUUAUAAAAACCGCCCCGGUCAAUACUGCUAAAGUGGUAAUUACUGGUCAAUAUUGGUCGAUUUAUCUUUACCCCCAAUUUUGAUUAAUAUUCCAUGCCUAAUUAAACAAUAUUUAUAGUAUAAAUUAAGCAGACAUGUUGCCAAUAAUGUCUUUAGCUAUUAAGACCCACUAUUUUAUACCUGUUCAUGCAAUUUGUAGGCCAAUCUCUCAAAAUUUUGCAAAUUAGUCAAAGUUGGUCAAUUGGAUUUUUCUGUUUGAUUGAACUUUUUUUCAAUUCUAAUGAAUUAUGAAUGCUCAGAUAAGCAUGUGCUUGAUUCAACAAGAACCUGUUAAUUACUGUGUAUGAGUAUCAAAUAGAUAUAUCAAUAGAUAAGUGAAAUACUAUGGUAACUACAAUAGUAAUAAUACUUAUGUAUUUGAGGCUGUUUUCAUAAACAAUAAAGAAGUAAGUGUUUGCAGCUUUAAAGAUUUCUUUACAAUAAAUAACUCAAAAAAGUUUAUUAAUUAAAGAAUAAUUAUUGAGUUAAUAUAAAAUAGCUUCUUUGUGAUGUUUAAAUGCUUCAAUUUUCAAUCGACCAGUAUUGACCAGUAAUUGCCAGUAAUGACCAGUAUUGACCGGUUUUAACUGGGUAUUGACCGCCGGCCCGGUCAAUACUUAAUUGACCGGUCAAUAUGCCAACCCUGAUUCAUCCAGACUCAGUCAGCAAAAAACCUGGCAACUGUAAACAGUACACUGACCUCACAUCCUUCCACAAUCAGAAAGGAAAACCUAAGAAAACUGAUGUGUUUGAUUCAGAGCAACUUACGAAAUAUCUUCAACAGAUGAACAUUCAGAUUUAAAACAACGAUUAUAUGCCUGUAGACAUGACCGAUCCAUUACAGAAGCCUUCAAGGACAUGUCUCCUCUGCCAACAUAAUGAAAAACUAGAUUAUAAGAACACUCAGCUGCUGAGUCAGUUCAUCUCCCCGUACACUGGUCGCAUGUAUGGUCGUCAUGUCACAGGACUCUGUCUACACAUGCAGAGAUGAGUGGCCAGGGAAGUUCGCAUAGCUAAAUUGAUGGGUUACUUGCCCUUCAUGACCAAGUCUGUACAAUACUUGGAAGACCCGAUGCUGUUCAAUCCAUUCUCUAGAAAGACAUGAACACUUGUAUUGAAUUUCAUGUUAUAAUAUAUUAUUUCUAAAACGGACAGAAGAGCUAAGAUAUCCCUUAUUAUAAUAACUAUGUUAGGAGUAUGCAAGAUCUUUUGUUUUUCACCAGAGGUGAAAGGUCUUGCCACUGGUACUGGACAUAGAAUAAAACAAUUCAUUUAUUUUGAAACUUAUUAAGCUAACAAUUGAUCAAAAAAUGUAAGGGUUAUGCAAAAAAAACAUAUUAUACAUGCGUAACCAUUUUAAGAGUGGUUGGAUAUGCUGGAAGCACACUAAAUGUUUAUCUGCCCAACAGUUCGUAGACACAAAAUUGUCCUCUAAAGUUCUAUUAAGCUUUUGAAUAUACACUAUUCAAAUUUGCAUGAGUUAUUCAGUAUUGUAUGAAGUUGUGUUUGUGCCUUUUUAUGCCCAGGGUAGGGGACAUGAAGCAGUUGGACCAUCCGUCAAUCUUUCUUUUUGUCCGUCUGUUCGACAUUCCGUUUCUGGAGUUUUCUUUCCUAAACGCAGAUAUUUACCUGGUCUUUGGUAUGUGAGUCUACCUACAUGUUCAGAGAGCAAGUUCGUGUUUCCUGCCAGUCCAUUGAAUUUUGACGAAGUUACAGGCCUUGGACCUAAGAAUUUUAUUUAAAAUAACGCUUUUUCAAUUUUUUUUUCCGAAAUGCGUUCAGAUACUGACCUUAUUUUUAUACGCCCGUUUUUAAAAACAGGACGUAUUAUAGUUUCACCCUUGGCGGGCGGCGUGCGGGCGGCCGUGGGCGGCGUCCACAGCAAUGUCCGCUCUCUAAUUCAAAUAGUUUAAAUUCGAUCUUCACCAAACUUGGUCAGAAGUUGUGUCUAGACAAUAUCUAGGUCAAGUUCGAAUAUGGGUCAUGCCGGGUCAAAAACUAGGUCACGGGGUCACUAAGUGCAUUUCAAGGAUUAAGCAUGGUGUCCGCUCUCUAAUUGAAGUAGUUUUCACCGGAUCUUCACCAAAUUUGGUCAGAAGUUGUGUCUAGAUGAUAUGUAGGUCAAGUUCAAAUAUGGGUCAUGCCGGGUCAAAAACUAGGUCACGAGGUUACUUAGUGCAUUUCAAGCAUUUAGCACGGUGUCCGCUCUCUAAUUGAAGUAGUUUUCAUCUGAUCUUCACCUAAUUUGGUCAGAAGUUGUGUCUAGAUGAUAUGUAGGUCAAGUUCGUAUAUGGGUCAUGCCGGGUCAAAAACGAGGUCACGAGGUCACAUAGUGCAUUUCAAGCAUUUAGCAUGGUGUCCGCUCUCUAAUUGAAGUAGUUUUCAUCUGAUCUUCACCAAAUUUAGUCAGAUGUUACAUCUAAAUGAUAUCUUGGUCAAGUUCAAAUAUGGGUCAUGCCGGUUCAAUAACUAGGUCUCGAGGUCAGGUAGUGCAUUUCAAGCAUUGAGCAUGGUGUCCAAAACCUUCGAACGGGCAUAUCUUGUGACAGUUUGGCACUCUUGUUUAUAUGUGAGUCUACCUACAUGACUCUAAGAUCAAGUUCAGUUUCGUUACUCUCCAUUGAUUUUGACGAAGUUGCAGGCCUAGGACUUUGCCAUUUUUAUGCCCCCUUCUUCGAAGAAGAGGGGGUAUAUUGUUUUUGACCUGUCUGUCUGUCUGUCUGUCAUUCCGUCAUUCUGUCAUUCUGUCCCAAAACUUUAACCUUACAUUAACGUUUUGCAAUAACUUUUUAAAUAUUAACAUAGCAACUUGAUAUUUGGCAUGCAUGUGUAUCUCAUGGAGCUGCACAUUUUAAGUUGUGAAAGGUCAAGGUCAUCCUUAAAGGUCAAAGGUAAAAAAAAAGCGGCACAUUCGGGGGCAUUGUGUUUUCUGACAAACACAUCUCUUAUUUCUCUAAAAUAAUACAUCCAGAUUUUUUUCUCCCUCCCUCCCUUCCUCCCUCCCUCAUUGAGUUUAAAUGUCGAUUAGAACAAAAACAUCAUGAAGGAGGGAAAAAAUGUAUAAAAAAAACCCUCAGUAUUUAAAAUUAACUCAAAUGCUAAUGAAAAUUCAAAUAACGAAAGUAGCUAUGUUAGAAACGUGUUAGAACUUACGACCUUUUAUCGCAUGA